CAGAAUGGGAGUUACUGGGAUAUGGAGAAUGAUCUGGAAUUAGAUAGCUAGAAAGGCAAUACAUCUUUGGGAAGGUAGUGAAAAACAUGGAAUUGUACACCUUAAAAGAGAGAGUUUUACUUUAUCUGUAUUGUAUCUCAAUUUAAAAAGAAAGAAAGGAGACAUUCAUAAACAGUUACUUGAGAGAGACCUUUGCUUAUCAGUCUUCACCAUAUGAGGAUCCCUCAGUUCCAUCAAGCCUUCAGGAAGCAAUGGACACAUGCAGGGGUGACUCAGACUUUGGAUGCACCUGUCAUAGCUUCAGAGCCGCCAUUGGCUGAGGAGAGGAGAUGGAUGAGUGCUAAGAUCCAAGUGCUCCAGGUGUCCAAAGCAAACAGCUUCUGCAAAAACAGCCGGCAGUCCCUGGGGGUUUCCAGUGAUAGUUAUAAGUUACUUGAGCAAAAUCUCUCAAGCAAGUUGCUGCCUUGCAGAUGAUCCAAUCUUCUCCGUCACUCAGUACAUAUAUAUUACAGCAGGCUGUCCCUGGUGUGACAGAUAAAGAGCUGAUCACAUAGUCCCUCAAGGAAAGCGUCACCACCCAGCAUCAAGGACUGUGACAAGUUGACAGUCUUCAGCUCCAGUCUGCUUCAAGCCUUGGAUUUGGAAUGGAGUUGCCACAUACCCAGGGUGACUUCCAGCCAUGUGUCCUGGCUCACACCAGCUGAUGGAAGAGCUGGUAGGUGCACAUUUCUUCUCAAUUCUGCAUUCAUGUUAUCUCCAUAGCUUCAAAUCAAUGAUGGUGCAAGCCUUUACCCUGAAAAAAUUGACAGAUGCUGCAAAUCAGCACUCCCUCCUUGGAAAGCCAUCGUUAAACAUUUGCCAGUGACUGGGGUGGGGGGGACCAGAGGUACAAGGAUAUUGUUAUUUCUGACCAAACACGGAACUCUUCUUACCAGCAACCGUUGCUCUGGUGCUCUAGUGGAGCUUACAGACUGUCCAGUCUACAUUUCUGAUGAAUCCCCUGGCACAUAUGGCUUCUUCCCAUUUUCCUUUCACAGGUAUUAUUUCCCAGUAAACUUUGGUAUUCCCAACACUGCAUUAGAAUC
This 1085-nucleotide long non-coding RNA is filed under the name Chinchilla lanigera (long-tailed chinchilla). RNAcentral describes it as "lncRNA (ENSCLAG00000027548.1)". The record is from RNAcentral. Lineage: Eukaryota; Metazoa; Chordata; Mammalia; Rodentia; Chinchillidae.